CACGCAGGGGACGAGCGUUGUCCGGAUUCAUUGGGCGUAAAGCGCGCGUAGGCGGCUCGGAAAGUCGGUCGUGAAAUGCCGGGGCUCAACCCCGGGACUGCGUCCGAUACUCUCGAGCUGGAGGCAGGUAGGGGAGAUCGGAAUUCCUGGUGUAGCGGUGAAAUGCGCAGAUAUCAGGAGGAACACCGGUGGCGAAGGCGGCCUUCUGGACAGUGACUGACGCUGAGACGCGAAAGCGUGGGGAGCAAACAGG
This 253-nucleotide ribosomal RNA is filed under the name uncultured bacterium. Its description in RNAcentral is "partial 16S ribosomal RNA". It matches the Rfam family "Bacterial small subunit ribosomal RNA", at positions 524 to 776 of the family's 1533-position model. The record is from RNAcentral.